UACGAACCGAGCGAACGUUAUUCGGAAUCACUGGGCGUAAAGCGCACGUAGGCGGCUUGUUAAGUCGGGGGUGAAAUCCUGAGGCUCAACCUCAGAACUGCCUUCGAUACUGGCAAUCUCGAGUCCGGAAGAGGUUGGUGGAACAGCUAGUGUAGAGGUGAAAUUCGUAGAUAUUAGCUAGAACACCAGUGGCGAAGGCGGCCAACUGGUCCGGUACUGACGCUGAGGUGCGAAAGCGUGGGGAGCAAACAGG
This 253-nucleotide ribosomal RNA is filed under the name uncultured bacterium. RNAcentral describes it as "partial 16S ribosomal RNA". It matches the Rfam family "Bacterial small subunit ribosomal RNA", at positions 524 to 776 of the family's 1533-position model. The record is from RNAcentral.